Molecule: ribosomal RNA, 494 nt
Filed under: uncultured bacterium
Lineage: Bacteria
Description: partial 16S ribosomal RNA
Rfam family: Bacterial small subunit ribosomal RNA
Source: RNAcentral
GACGAACGCUGGCGGCGUGCUUAACACAUGCAAGUCGAACGGUGAAGCGCCUUCCUUUUUGGUGGGUGUGGAUGAGUGGCGAACGGGUGAGUAACACGUGAGUAACCUGCCCCCUUCUUCUGGAUAACCGCAUGAAAGUGUGGCUAAUACGGGAUAUUCUGGGUCUGUCGCAUGAUGGGUCUGGGAAAGAUAUUGUUUCGGUGGGGGAUGGGCUCGCGGCCUAUCAGCUUGUUGGUGGGGUGAUGGCCUACCAAGGCGGUGACGGGUAGCCGGCCUGAGAGGGUGGACGGCCCCACUCCGGCUGAGACACGGCCCCGACUCCUACGGGAGGCAGCAGUGGGGAAUAGUGCACAAUGGGAGCCAGCCUGAUGCAGCGCCGCCGCGUGAGGGAUGGAGGCCUUCGGGUUGUGAACCUCUUUCGCCAGUGAAGCAGGCCUGCCUCGUUUGUGGGUGGGUUGACGGUAGCUGGAUAAGAAGCGCCGGCUAACUACGUG